AUGAGCGUAUCCUAAACCCAUGGGUGAGGACCCAUUGGAGGGCAAGUCUGGUGCCAGCAGCCGCGGUAAUUCCAGCUCCAAUAGCGUAUAUUAAAGUUGCUGCAGUUAAAAAGCUCGUAGUUGGAUCUCGGGAGUGGGCUGGCGGUCCGCCGCGAGGCGAGCCACCGCCUGUCCCAGACCCUGCCUCCCCGGUGCCCCCCGGAUGCCCUUGGCUGGGUGUCCGGUCCUUUCAGGGGUC
This 238-nucleotide ribosomal RNA is filed under the name Pangasianodon hypophthalmus (striped catfish). RNAcentral describes it as "partial 18S ribosomal RNA". It matches the Rfam family "Eukaryotic small subunit ribosomal RNA", at positions 514 to 750 of the family's 1831-position model. Lineage: Eukaryota; Metazoa; Chordata; Actinopteri; Siluriformes; Pangasiidae. The record is from RNAcentral.